This 427-nucleotide ribosomal RNA is filed under the name uncultured bacterium. RNAcentral's name for it is "partial 16S ribosomal RNA". It matches the Rfam family "Bacterial small subunit ribosomal RNA", at positions 355 to 774 of the family's 1533-position model. The record is from RNAcentral.
UGGGGAAUAUUGGACAAUGGGCGAAAGCCUGAUCCAGCCAUGCCGCGUGUGUGAAGAAGGUCUUCGGAUUGUAAAGCACUUUAAGUUGGGAGGAAGGGCAUUAACCUAAUACGUUAGUGUUUUGACGUUACCGACAGAAUAAGCACCGGCUAACUCUGUGCCAGCAGCCGCGGUAAUACAGAGGGUGCAAGCGUUAAUCGGAAUUACUGGGCGUAAAGCGCGCGUAGGUGGUUUGUUAAGUUGGAUGUGAAAGCCCCGGGCUCAACCUGGGAACUGCAUCCAAAACUGGCAAGCUAGAGUACGGUAGAGGGUGGUGGAAUUUCCUGUGUAGCGGUGAAAUGCGUUGAUAUAGGAAGGAACACCAGUGGCGAAGGCGACCACCUGGACUGAUACUGACACUGAGGUGCGAAAGCGUGGGGAGCAAACA